RNAcentral lists this ribosomal RNA (253 nucleotides) under uncultured bacterium. RNAcentral's name for it is "partial 16S ribosomal RNA". It matches the Rfam family "Bacterial small subunit ribosomal RNA", at positions 524 to 776 of the family's 1533-position model. The record is from RNAcentral.
UACAGAGGGGGCAAGCGUUAUUCGGAAUUAUUGGGCGUAAAGAGCUCGUAGGCGGCUUGUCGCGUCGUCCGUGAAAACUUGGGGCUCAACCCCAAGCUUGCGGUCGAUACGGGCAGGCUAGAGUUCGGUAGGGGAGACUGGAAUUCCUGGUGUAGCGGUGAAAUGCGCAGAUAUCAGGAGGAACACCGGUGGCGAAGGCGGAUCUCUGGACCAGUUCUGACACUGAUGAGCGAAAGCCAGGGGAGCAAACAGG